This 406-nucleotide ribosomal RNA is filed under the name uncultured bacterium. Its description in RNAcentral is "partial 16S ribosomal RNA". It matches the Rfam family "Bacterial small subunit ribosomal RNA", at positions 30 to 526 of the family's 1533-position model. The record is from RNAcentral.
AUUGAACGCUGGCGGCAGGCCUAACACAUGCAAGUCGAACGAGUGGCGGACGGGUGAGUACUGUCUGGGAAACUGCCCGAUGGCGGGGGAUAACUACUGGAAACGGUAGCUAAUACCGCAUACCAUCGGAUGUGCCCAGAGGGGAUUGGCUAGUAGGUGGGGUAACGGCUCACCUAGGCGAAGAUACCUAGCUGGUCUGAGAGGAUGAACAGCCACACUGGAACUGAGACACGGUCCAGACUCCUACGGGAGGCAGCAGUGGGUAAGAUGGCACAAUGGGCGCAAGCCGGAUGCAGCCAUGCCGCGUGUAUGAAGAGGGCCUUCGGGUUGUAAAGUACUUUCAGCGAGGAGGCGUUACUCACAGAAGAAGCACCGGCUAACUCCGUGCCAGCAGCCGCGGUAAUAC